Long non-coding RNA from Cygnus olor (mute swan), 310 nucleotides. RefSeq lists it as uncharacterized. NCBI's taxonomy places the organism in Eukaryota, Metazoa, Chordata, Aves, Anseriformes, Anatidae. The transcript has 3 exons. The record is from RefSeq and is a predicted model, not a curated record.
GGGACACGCAGGUGCCUGGGCAGCUGCUGCUCCAGCUGGCGCAGUUCUCCACUGCAUCUCCUUCGUCUUCUCCUGGAGAGAGAAACUGUGGGCAGCUAUGAAAGAAACAAAAUAGAUCUGCUACGAGAGGACAAUCCAUACUAUGAGCUCGGCUUGGACUGGUUGCCAGGAAGCCCUGAGAAAGGUGCGAUUUGGCUGCAUGCUUGCUGUGUGAUAGUUACAGAAGGCUGCAGUGCUCUGUCCAGCCAACUGGAAGGAAAGUUGGGAAACAAUCGCUGUAAAAGUAGGUGCUAGUGCCUCUGCAAGGCAG